UACGUAGGGGGCAAGCGUUGUCCGGAAUCAUUGGGCGUAAAGCGCGUGUAGGCGGCCCGGUAAGUCCGCUGUGAAAGUCGGGGGCUCAACCCUCGAAUGCCGGUGGAUACUGUCGGGCUCGAGUCCGGAAGAGGCGAGUGGAAUUCCUGGUGUAGCGGUGAAAUGCGCAGAUAUCAGGAGGAACACCAAUGGCGAAGGCAGCUCGCUGGGACGUGACUGACGCUGAGACGCGAAAGCGUGGGGAGCAAACAGG
Molecule: ribosomal RNA, 253 nt
Filed under: uncultured bacterium
Lineage: Bacteria
Description: partial 16S ribosomal RNA
Rfam family: Bacterial small subunit ribosomal RNA
Source: RNAcentral